ACGGCUACCUUGUUACGACUUCACCCCAGUCAUGAAUCACUCCGUGGUAACCGUCCCCCUUGCGGUUAGACUAGCUACUUCUGGAGCAACCCACUCCCAUGGUGUGACGGGCGGUGUGUACAAGGCCCGGGAACGUAUUCACCGUGACAUUCUGAUUCACGAUUACUAGCGAUUCCGACUUCACGCAGUCGAGUUGCAGACUGCGAUCCGGACUACGAUCGGUUUUAUGGGAUUAGCUCCACCUCGCGGCUUGGCAACCCUUUGUACCGACCAUUGUAGCACGUGUGUAGCCCUGGCCGUAAGGGCCAUGAUGACUUGACGUCAUCCCCACCUUCCUCCGGUUUGUCACCGGCAGUCUCCUUAGAGUGCCCACCAUAACGUGCUGGUAACUAAGGACAAGGGUUGCGCUCGUUACGGGACUUA
RNAcentral lists this ribosomal RNA (423 nucleotides) under uncultured bacterium. Its description in RNAcentral is "partial 16S ribosomal RNA". The record is from RNAcentral.